CUCUUCCGAUCUGGACAGUCCACAUACACUGCUACUCUGUUAGAGACAGAGGAGGAGGAGAGACGAGUUCCUCUUUUAUUGUGCCAGACAGAGUAACCAUCAACAUCAGAGCAUCUCAGACUCCAGGAAUGAUCAUUCCCUCCAAACCAACAGUCUCUACUGUUUCCUUUCCUCCCGAUUCUUCUGUAACUCACUGAUAUA
Long non-coding RNA from Xiphophorus hellerii (green swordtail), 201 nucleotides. RefSeq lists it as uncharacterized. Lineage: Eukaryota; Metazoa; Chordata; Actinopteri; Cyprinodontiformes; Poeciliidae. The transcript has 3 exons. The record is from RefSeq and is a predicted model, not a curated record.